AAGAGUUUGAUCCUGGCUCAGAUUGAACGCUAGCAGUAUGCAUAACACAUGCAAGUUAAACAGUUUAUUAUUAAUAAAUAGUAGCAAACGGGUGAGUAAAAUAUCAUAUCAUACCUAUCAGAAACAAAAUAAUAUAGUGAAAACUAUAGUAAUACGUUAUAAAUUUAUUUAAUAUAAAAUAAAAAAAAAAGAUGGAAUAUUCCAUCUUUUGCUUUUAGAUUGAUAGAUAUCAGAUUAGCUUGUUGGUAGUAAAAGACUACCAAGGCAUAUAUCUGUAGCUGUUCUGAAAGGAUGCACAGCCACAUUGGGACUGAGACAAGGCCCAAACUUCUACGGAAGGCAGCAGUGAGGAAUAUUGGACAAUGAACGAAAGUUUGAUCCAGCAAUACUGCGUGUGUGAUGAAGGUUUAAAAUAAUUGUAAAACACUUUUAUCCAAAAUUAAAAGAAUGAAUAUUGGAUGAAUAAGCACCGGCUAAAUACGUGCCAGCAGCCGCGGUAAUACGUAUGGUGCAAGCGUUAAUCAGUUUUAUUGGGCGUAAAGGGUGUGUAGGCGGAUAAUUGUGAAAAAAAAUAAAAAAUAAAGCUCAACUUUAUUAAAUUUUUUUUAACUAAUUAUCUAGAGUUUAAAAGAGGAGAGUAGAAUUUUACAAGUAGUAGUGAAAUACGUAAAUAUGUAAAGGAAUACCAAUGGCGAAGGCAACUCUCUGGGUUAAUACUGACGCUGAAACACUAAAGCGUGGGGAGCAAACAGGAUUAGAUACCCUGGUAGUCCACGCCCUAAACGAUGUCAACUAGUUGUCAGAAUAAUUUGGUAACGUAGCUAACGCGUUAAGUUGACCGCCUGGGAAUUACGAUCGCAAGAUUAAAACUCAAAGGAAUUGACGGGGACCCGCACAAGUGGUGGAUGAUGUGGAUUAAUUCGAUGCUACGCGAAAAACCUUACCUACUCUUGACAUGUAUGGAAAUAAUUCGAAAGAAUGAAAUUAAACAUAACACAGGUGCUGCAUGGCUGUCGUCAGCUCGUGUCGUGAGAUGUUGGGUUAAGUCCUAUAACGAGCGCAACCCUUGUUUUAUGUUACUAUUUUUUUAAAAAAAGUACUCAUAAAAUACUGCUGAUUAAAAUCAGAGGAAGGAAAGGAUGACGUCAAGUCCUCAUGGCCUUGAUGAGUAGGGCUUCACACGUCAUACAAUGGUUAAUACAAUAUGAUACAAUUUUGUAAAAAUGAGUAAAUCAUUAAAAUUAAUCUCAGUUCGGAUUGCACCCUGAAACUCGGGUACAUGAAGUAGGAAUCACUAGUAAUCGCAGAUUAGAAUGCUGCGGUGAAUACGUUCUCGGGUCUUGUACACACCGCCCGUCACACCAUGGAAGUAAAGGUUAUUGGAAAUAAUUAAAAUUAUCAAUAUAAAAUUUAUAACUGGGGUGAAGUCGUAACAAGGUAGCCGUAUCGGAAGGUGCGGCUGGAUU
RNAcentral lists this ribosomal RNA (1466 nucleotides) under Candidatus Vidania fulgoroideorum. Its description in RNAcentral is "bacterial SSU rRNA". It matches the Rfam family "Bacterial small subunit ribosomal RNA". The record is from RNAcentral. Lineage: Bacteria; Pseudomonadati; Pseudomonadota; Betaproteobacteria.